CUUCUCUUCAGCCACUUUGCUUGGCUAAGGGCACAAGAGACUCACCACCUGAAGGACAACAUAGGAAAACACCACGUUCUCUUAAGCGGAUGCUUGUGAUUCUGAACACAAGAUAGGGAUGCGGCCACCUAGUUCCUGCUGUCAUUCUGAUACCAGCUCCUGACCACAACAGCAGCCACCUGGACUGUCUCACACUGCCCUGCCUGAGGGGAGGCUGGAACUGGUCCACAGAGGAUAGUGCUGACCAUCAACUAUGUGCUUGCAUGCUUGGAGCUGUUCCUGCAGAGUGCCGAGGGACUGGAUGCACCCUGAGAGACAGCAGAGUCCAGCAAGAUACCUUGGGGCUUGGGGCUCACAGGUCUGAAGUUGGAGCCUCUGCUUCAUCCUUCCAUCUGGGCUUCGUGGCAUCCACUCGGUUGCUCUAAGUCAAGCACACACUUUAUUCCCAUUCAGGGGCUGCUUGGGAUGCUGAGCGUGGAGACAGAGAGCCUCUCAUAGUCCCUGCAUCCUCUGUUCUCCAGGUUUCAGGACUCCAGGAUGCAGGCUGGACCAGCUCCUUUCUGAUGCAGCAGAAGAGCCCGAGGUGAAAUACCACAGCCUCUGAUCCUCCAAAAUCUGGACUUAUCCCAGGGUCUUCUCUCUGCAUGCCAGCUCUGUCCAAGGCCUGGCUUAGAGGCAUAACCAGGACCUAAUCUCACUUUCAACUGUAUGUGUCUGAACACACAUACAGGGGCUCACUCCUGCUUGCCUAGGGGAUAGGAAGAUCUCCCUAGGACUAUCACAUGGUCAUCUUUGCUGCCAAGAUUAAAUUAGUAUCUACUCAUGAGAAGAACAGUUUCCCCCUUUCCUCCUUCCAUUUUCUCUUUUCCCUCCUCUUCCUCUCUUCCUCCUUCCUCCCUCC
This is a long non-coding RNA of Mus musculus (house mouse), 901 nucleotides long. RefSeq annotates it as predicted gene, 35284. The record is from RefSeq and is a predicted model, not a curated record. The transcript has 3 exons. Lineage: Eukaryota; Metazoa; Chordata; Mammalia; Rodentia; Muridae.